UGUUCUUCAGGAAUCAUAAUCACUCCUUACAGUCACAGCAUGAGGACGAAACGUUAUAGAUGGAUUUCUUCGUAUUUCUUUGUGUGACAGAUGCAAGAUAAAUCUGCUCCAGAAGUACCAUCUUCUAAAAAUGUAAAGGCUUCUUGUCCUUUCAUUUUUAGUUCUUCUGUAUUAUAGGUGUUCUGAAAUUUCUCUUAAACCACUGAUAGGUUUGACUCCGCCUAACUUGUAGGUCUUCUUUGUUUAACUUAAAUGUUUGAUCAGUUUGGCUUCUAGUUGAUUACCUAUUAUGUGUGAAUUCAG
This 303-nucleotide long non-coding RNA is filed under the name Elaeis guineensis (African oil palm). RNAcentral describes it as "long non-coding RNA (EGUI_LNC068548)". The record is from RNAcentral. Lineage: Eukaryota; Viridiplantae; Streptophyta; Magnoliopsida; Arecales; Arecaceae.